UACGUAGGUGGCAAGCGUUGUCCGGAAUUAUUGGGCGUAAAGCGCGCGCAGGUGGUUUCUUAAGUCUGAUGUGAAAGCCCACGGCUCAACCGUGGAGGGUCAUUGGAAACUGGGGAACUUGAGUGCAGAAGAGGAAAGUGGAAUUCCAAGUGUAGCGGUGAAAUGCGUAGAGAUUUGGAGGAACACCAGUGGCGAAGGCGACUUUCUGGUCUGCAACUGACACUGAGGCGCGAAAGCGUGGGGAGCGAACAGG
Molecule: ribosomal RNA, 253 nt
Filed under: uncultured bacterium
Lineage: Bacteria
Description: partial 16S ribosomal RNA
Rfam family: Bacterial small subunit ribosomal RNA
Source: RNAcentral